This 79-nucleotide microRNA precursor is filed under the name Medicago truncatula (barrel medic). The record is from RNAcentral. Lineage: Eukaryota; Viridiplantae; Streptophyta; Magnoliopsida; Fabales; Fabaceae.
CAAAUCCUAUAGGCAUGCUAGAAUACACCCACCUAUUUUUUAGAAGGAGUAUUUUAGCAAGUGAAUAACUAAAAAAUGG